This 377-nucleotide unclassified non-coding RNA is filed under the name plant metagenome. Its description in RNAcentral is "partial contains 5.8S ribosomal RNA, internal transcribed spacer 2, and large subunit ribosomal RNA". The stretch from base 1 to 104 matches the Rfam family "5.8S ribosomal RNA", at positions 51 to 154 of the family's 154-position model. The record is from RNAcentral.
AAAUGCGAUAAGUAAUGUGAAUUGCAGAAUUCAGUGAAUCAUCGAAUCUUUGAACGCACCUUGCGCUCCUUGGUAUUCCUUGGAGCAUGCCUGUUUGAGUAUCAUGAAAUCUUCAAAGUAAAUCUUUUGUUAACUCAAUUGGUUUCUACUUUGGUAUUGGAGGUCUUUGCAGCUUCACACCUGCUCCUCUUUGUUCAUUAGCUGGAUCUCAGUGUUAUGCUUGGUUCCACUCGGCGUGAUAAGUUAUCUAUCGCUGAGGACACUGUAAAAGGUGGCCAAGGUAAAUGCAGAUGAACCGCUUCUAAUAGUCCAUUGACUUGGACAAUACUUUUAUGAUCCGAUCUCAAAUCAGGUAGGACUACCCGCUGAACUUAAGC